CACCCGCCCUGCUUCAUCCUUCUACGUCCAAACUGAAUCACAUCCCCACACCAGGUAGGAAAGCAUUACCAUCAUUAUUGCAAUAUUUAUAUUCCCAUCCCACUCCCCCUUGCGUAUUUCAUUUCAGUGCCAGGUGUGAGAAGAAAAUCAUGAAGUAAAAGCAUUUCCCCACAUGCUCUGUUUCUCUGCUUUGAACCCUCAGUCCCAGCUGCCAGCAGGAGCACCUCGAGGGCUUUCAGAAAUUCAAUCAGUUCCUAGACAGUGGCAAUCAGAGGAUGGCCAAGAUCAUGAAAGCAGCACAGAUGAGAAGUCAAAAACAGGAGUUAAAGACCUCAGAAGUCCUCCUGUCUUUCCUUCUCUUCUUGAUUGGUAACCUGAAGCUUUCAAGGAAUAGAACCCCUAGAUGUCAACAGACCUAGAAGGUGAUUUGUCCAAGCUGGAACGAGAGGACUGAGGGCAGAGGAACAGAAUGGAACUACAGAAGAACUCGGUGUGUGUGGACAUUUUGAGGGGAGUUUUAUAGCUCCAUCAGGAGACCUUGGGGAAAAAUUAAUAAGAGUUAUACAGAAACCUAAGGUAAUGGAAUAAAAAAAAGAGGCAUUUACUCAAUCUGUAAAAAAAAACGCACAAGAAAGAACAUGAAACCACAGUACCUACAUAGCUCAGCUGUAUGUGCUGUUUAUAGGGUCAUGAGGUUAUAAACACUAUGUGUGAGGAAGAGAGGUAAGUCGAAUCUUCCCUAGUAGGAAUUAAAAGAUGGUAGCUAAAAUGGAAAAAUCAGGAAAAGGAAUUAUACUCAUGGUAUUCAGAAACUUGGAAGUAAAUUCUAGAAGAAACCACUAAAAUAAUUUAAUGUGGUUGCCGCUGGGGAGUAGCCCUUUGGAGUGAAGCAGGGGACUGGGAUUUUUCAUGUUGAAGCCUGUGGUUCUAUUUUAAAGGAUGUGGACUUUAUUUAAAGGAUGCUCAUGUAUUUUAAAGGGAAUCACUGGGACUGUCCAUAAAUAUCCAGGGCACUGUGGAACUUGGGAAUGAAGCUUCAGAAAUGAGAGCACAAACCAAUGCAUUCCCUUCCCUAUCUCAGCUCGUGUGGAUCAUGGAGCUGGAUUUUCCCUCCACUGGGGCCCCCGAGUAAGGACAGCAUGAAGCAGAGCCCCUCAGUCACCCCAC
Long non-coding RNA from Mirounga angustirostris (Northern elephant seal), 1167 nucleotides. RefSeq lists it as uncharacterized. Lineage: Eukaryota; Metazoa; Chordata; Mammalia; Carnivora; Phocidae. The transcript has 3 exons. The record is from RefSeq and is a predicted model, not a curated record.